GCGCCGUGAGGGAGGCGCGGGCGAAGCAGAGCGGGCAGAAGGGAGGGAGCCGGCUCCCCGGCACGGGUCUUCAGGCAGGCUGUGGGCCGGCGGCGCCUGAGGGGGAGAGCCGGGCGCCCCUCCUCCAGCCCGCCCCUCCCGAGAUGAUCUCACCUGGCUGGAUCCCGGGGGAAGCGGAAGAAGGCCAGCUCCUGGUCACCAGCCAGUGUCCAGCCAGCCAGCCUCAUUGUUACAGUUCUGAUCAUUUGUGGCUAAGUUUCGCUUAGUUUCCCUCCCUGAGGAAACUCACAGAGGGGUGAGUGGAGCGGGGCAGGGCUGGUGUGCCUUCACCUGGGGCUGCUCCCCAUUUGUAUGUAUGCUACACUGUGUCUGCUUUAAAACCAGGCAUAGGGUGGACAUCGAAGUCAUAACGUUGUUCUCUUGUCUUACUUUCUUUUGUUUGGCUCUAGGAGGAUGUUGUUACGCUGCAGCCUGACGGAUAAUCCCACACAGAAUCACUGAAUCAAUUAGGUUGGAAACGACCUCUGUGAUCAUUGAGUCCAGCCUAUGACUGUUCAUAACCUUGUCAACUAGACCAGAGCGCAUCCAGGCUUUCCUUAAACUUCUCCAGGGAUGGUGACUCUACCAUCUCUUUUGGCAGACCCUUCACAUACCUGAGCACCCUUUCUGUGAAAAAAAAAUCCUCCUGAUGUACAGCCUAAGCCUUCACUGGCACAUCCUGUCGCUGGUUGCUAGGAGAAGAGGCUAAAACCUGGCUAAAACCUCCUUUCAGGUAGUUAAAGAAGUAGUGAUAAAAGCCACAAGCAUUUGAAGUAAUGAAAUAAUUAGAUAGAAGUUGUAGUGGUCAGAAGCCAAUAUUAGGUAAAACUAAAAUAAAGCUUAGAAAAAAAAAAACAGGAUACAGAAAACUAUAAGUAGGUGAGGGCUCCCUCAGCAAAUAUGUCCUGUUUAAAAGUAGGUGGAGCACCUAUGGAAUUAUAAAUACUGAUAGCAAGUGAUGAUGGUUUCAGGUAUAAUAUUGUAGUUUUAAGAAUUCUGCUGUGAUACAUCCUUUUUGUAUCUUCACAUAAAAAAUCCUCCUGAUCUGGAGAUGUGCUGGGCUUUAGGAAAGAUAAUACAAAGACACAAAAUAGUCAAUAGUGUAAGUUUUCAAAUGAGCAUAAAGGAAAAAUAACAAAGAAACCCCUACUUAUUUGAUUACUUUUGAGCUUCAAAUAUUUUAAGCUUGCUUCGUCUAGUAUGAGCAGGAUUGAAGCUUUUACAUGAGGAAGUCUUGUCAUCAAGUGCUCUUGACCAGUUAUAAUAACAUCAGUUUAUUUAGUUUUAGUUGAUUGCCUGAAUUCUACCUUGGGUGUGUAGCUGAAGUAGUUUUGAGUAGUCAUUUAAGCUAAUGCUAAAGAGAAUUGCACUCCAUUGGUUUGACUUUACUGGGCAGUCACCAACAUUCAUGGACAGUGAACUGUAGAAAUUAAUUACUCAGAUAAGUAAUCUUUUUUAAAAUAAACUAAUUUAGGUUAGAUUUAGACCAGAUAGCUGCCAUCUGAUAUGUGGUGCAGGUAGCAUAAAUGUUCAUGCUGAUAAAAGGAAACAAAAAAAAAGAGAGCAGGAUCAUUUUCAAUUGUAGUAAGAGUAUAGGAGCAUAAUUGCAUAAUGUUAGAGUGAAUUUUAAAACACUUAAAAUCUGUUUCAGUAGGAAAAAAUUACUUCUCACAUAGCUAAUAAGAAAAUUGUAUCUUCUGCCCAAUAUUUUCUCCUCCAAAUUGCUUCACCAAACAGAAGUACUGGCAUGCUAAACUCCUUUUUGGGGCUCUGAGCAAGCUAGACCAGAAUGUUACCAUGGCAGUAUUAAAAUUAAAUUGCAGAUAUUUCUGAGCUGCCACUUCUGACCAAAGUCUCAGCUGAUACUGGUUGUAUCUUAUGAAGCACUAUACAAGUAUGUUAUGGCUGUUACCUUCCAGAUGUGUGUAUAUUUGCAUAGAAGCUAUCCUGAUGAAAUCAAGGCAAGGACUUGUUUAUAAAGUAGACUUACUGAGGUCUGCUGGAUGGUGGGUUUUAUGUGGAAACUUAUUCUUAAGUGCUUUCUAUGUGAUGGAAAGAAAAUGGACUUAAUAGUUUUCAAAACACAGUAGUAAUACUAGAAGCAUUAUUUAAAGCACGUUAUUUAAAAAUAAAAAUUAGUUUACAUUACUACUUAGUUGGAAAUUUCAAAAAUUAUCUUCUGUUUUAGAGUGCAGAAAUCCCUGAAAUAAUUUUUCCUGUACAGUAGCCUUUGAAGUGUACACCUGUAUUUUAAAUAAUCCUCUUGAAUAUUCAAUUCUUAUUCAGAAUGUGUUUCCAGGUAUGUCUAUAGAACAUUUAACAGGGAUUAUAUACUGUAUUAGUGUUGAACAUAUAAUCUGUAUUCUUAAAUUAUAUAUAUGUUAUAUAAAUUAUUCUUAAAGGAA
Parus major (Great Tit) is the source of this 2444-nucleotide long non-coding RNA. RefSeq lists it as uncharacterized. Lineage: Eukaryota; Metazoa; Chordata; Aves; Passeriformes; Paridae. The record is from RefSeq and is a predicted model, not a curated record. The transcript is spliced from 2 exons.